Molecule: long non-coding RNA, 651 nt
Filed under: Numida meleagris (helmeted guineafowl)
Lineage: Eukaryota; Metazoa; Chordata; Aves; Galliformes; Numididae
Description: lncRNA (ENSNMEG00000008235.1)
Source: RNAcentral
CGCGGAGAGGCUGCGCGCCUCCGUGCGGGCGGCUGCGGGGCCGGGGGGCUCCGAGGGAAGCGGGUCGGAGCUCGAGGAUCCCAGCUCCGCCGGGUGGGCAGCGCAGGGCGAGCGGCAAAGCCUCCGCGUCCCGCUGUCACCGUCCGAAGGUGCGACCUGGGCUGAAAGCUGCCCAGCGCGGCGCGGGGGCUCCCGGCUUGUGCGGAACAGAAGCGUGCGUUAUUGUAUGACUUAGUGCUCAUGAGUGUCUCGUCGAGCUGAACGCAUUUACCACGGAACGGACCCACUGAGAACAGUGGUGUCAGCCCCCCCCCCCCCCCCACACCCACACACCUUUAGCCUCUGUGUUUUGUAGCAGUGAGGGAAGAGAAAUCAGAAGGAGAGAGGAGGGUAUGGUGCUGGCAAGAAGUGCAGCACGCUGUGUGCCUCACCCUGCUUUCUGAGGAUGUCUGGUUGUCCGGUGGGGUUCCUGCAUACUGACAAGUGUUCUGCCUGUGGAUGAAAGCCCUGCUUGCUCCAGCUGUUUUCAUUUCCCAUUCCAGCAGAGCUCAGCAGAUGGAUCUAGAUGGGAAGGAAGUCCAGUGUUGGAAGUCCAGAGCUGGAAACCUGACAAGUAAUGAGAGCUGGAAGGGAGUCCAGUUCCUCCAGUGA